Long non-coding RNA from Miniopterus natalensis, 863 nucleotides. RefSeq lists it as uncharacterized. NCBI's taxonomy places the organism in Eukaryota, Metazoa, Chordata, Mammalia, Chiroptera, Miniopteridae. The record is from RefSeq and is a predicted model, not a curated record.
UUAAAAUAGCUAAAAACAUUUAUUUAUACAUGUGUUACUAAAGUAGUUGCUAUGGAAAAUCGGGAGCAUAAUCAUUUAUCUGCUUCCAUGACAGACACAUAGAUCACUGCAGGUCCCUCUCCCCCUACUACUGCUGCUGGGGGGAGGAGACUCCAAGCACCAGAAAAUGAAUGGUCCCCACUGUUCCCUCUAAGGUCCUUUUUCUCACUUAAGUCUAUUAUUGUUUAUAGGAUGUGAUCUAGUGCUUACCCUCUGGGUUUACAAGAUAAGAGGAACCAAGUAUGUUGAUGGUCCCAAAGGGCGCCUCACAUAGUGUUGAGACCCUUCUUUAUGAAAUGCCACUUUCAGGAAAGUGUUACAUUUGUAUCAGGCUCUGACCUUAAUUUUCUUGGUCCGCUCUGGAGGUCACUUGCAGCUUUAAUGAAGAAUUCAUCAAAUGAAUGAAUGGCUUCCUACCUCAAACACCUCAGCCUGAGGGCUUUUUCCAGCUGCAGAAACACAUUAAGUCUGCUGAAGGAGGUCAGAGAUGUGGGGGAGUUAACAUCCACAAAAGCAACCUUCAAACAUUUGUUGGACACGAAGAAACUCAGAGAACGUAGAAUUUAGGUGGAGAUGCAGAGGGUGGAGGCUCUGGAGGAGCUGCAACAACCCUCCUCACCAUCCAGCAAUUUUUACUGUGAGCUACAGAAAAACAGGUGUGAGAGAUAGUGAUCAGUAGAAACCAUAAAAUGCUCAAAAACAAGUGGCUUUGUUCUGAGAGCUGUAUGCUUAACAUUUUCCUUAAGGCUGUAACUCUCCUGGGGGCAAGCUUCCCAGAUCCAUAAGGAUCUGUUUUCAUUUCUGGCAGAAAUGUUUCCCUUGUU